RNAcentral lists this ribosomal RNA (460 nucleotides) under uncultured bacterium. RNAcentral's name for it is "SSU rRNA". It matches the Rfam family "Bacterial small subunit ribosomal RNA", at positions 26 to 521 of the family's 1533-position model. The record is from RNAcentral.
AGGAUGAACGCUGGCGGCGUGCCUAAUACAUGCAAGUCGAGCGGUAAGGCCCCUUCGGGGGUACACGAGCGGCGGACGGCUGAGUAACACGUAGGAACGUACCCCAAAGUGAGGGAUAAGCACCAGAAAUGGUGUCUAAUACCGCAUGUGCUCUUCGGAGGAAAGCUUCGGCGCUUUGGGAACGGCCUGCGCAUGAUUAGCUUGUUGGUGAGGUAAUGGCUCACCAAGGCGACGAUCAUUAGCUGGUCUGAGAGGAUGAUCAGCCAGACUGGGACUGAGAACGGCCCAGACUCCUACGGGAGGCAGCAGUAGGGAAUUUUCCACAAUGGGCGAAAGCCUGAUGGAGCAACGCCGCGUGCAGGAUGAAUGCCUUCGGGUUGUAAACUGCUUUUAUAUGUGACGAAUAUGACGGUAGCAUAUGAAUAAGGAUCGGCUAACUCCGUGCCAGCGAGCCGACGGU